Molecule: non-coding RNA, 107 nt
Organism: Capsicum annuum
Lineage: Eukaryota; Viridiplantae; Streptophyta; Magnoliopsida; Solanales; Solanaceae
Source: Rfam
UGAUGGUGAUGAGGAGUAUUUUUGAGUAUGCCUUUGAAUCUCUCCCAAUCUUGGUAGAGAUUUUCUCCAUCUUUCUGUCUGAAACUCAAGAUUUAAAUCCUCAAUCG